GCGAGCGUAGCCAAGUGGUUAAGGCAGUGGGUUGUGGUCCCGCCAUUCGUGGGUUCGAGUCCCAUCGUUCGCC
This 73-nucleotide transfer RNA is filed under the name Candidatus Atelocyanobacterium thalassa isolate ALOHA. RNAcentral describes it as "tRNA-His (GTG) (tRNA-His-GTG-1-1)". It matches the Rfam family "tRNA". From Rfam's summary of the family: Transfer RNA (tRNA) molecules are approximately 80 nucleotides in length. Their secondary structure includes four short double-helical elements and three loops (D, anti-codon, and T loops). Lineage: Bacteria; Bacillati; Cyanobacteriota; Cyanophyceae; Chroococcales; Aphanothecaceae. The record is from Rfam by way of RNAcentral. RNAcentral also lists the same sequence under 1 other name.